CGGCAACAGCUCAAAUUUGAAAUCUGGCCCCCAGGGCCCGAGUUGUAAUUUGCAGAGGAUGCUUUUGGCGCGGUGCCUUCCGAGUUCCCUGGAACGGGACGCCAUAGAGGGUGAGAGCCCCGUCUGGUCGGACGCCUAGCCUGUGUAAAGCUCCUUCGACGAGUCGAGUAGUUUGGGAAUGCUGCUCUAAAUGGGAGGUAUAUGUCUUCUAAAGCUAAAUACCGGCCAGAGACCGAUAGCGCACAAGUAGAGUGAUCGAAAGAUGAAAAGCACUUUGAAAAGAGGGUUAAAUAGUACGUGAAAUUGUUGAAAGGGAAGCGCUUGUGACCAGACUUGGGCCCGGUGGAUCAUCCAGCGUUCUCGCUGGUGCACUCCGCCGGGUUCAGGCCAGCAUCAGUUCGCCGCGGGGGAAAAAGGCUUCGGGAACGUGGCUCCUACGGGAGUGUUAUAGCCCGUUGCAUAAUACCCUGGGGCGGACUGAGGUUCGCGCUCCGCAAGGAUGCUGGCGUAAUGGUCAUCA
Molecule: ribosomal RNA, 520 nt
Filed under: Purpureocillium lilacinum
Lineage: Eukaryota; Fungi; Ascomycota; Sordariomycetes; Hypocreales; Ophiocordycipitaceae
Description: partial large subunit ribosomal RNA
Rfam family: Eukaryotic large subunit ribosomal RNA
Source: RNAcentral